CUACGUGCCAGCAGCCGCGGUAAUACGUAGGGUGCGAGCGUUAAUCGGAAUUACUGGGCGUAAAGCGGGCGCAGACGGUUACUUAAGCAGGAUGUGAAAUCCCCGGGCUCAACCUGGGAACUGCGUUCUGAACUGGGUGACUAGAGUGUGUCAGAGGGAGGUAGAAUUCCACGUGUAGCAGUGAAAUGCGUAGAGAUGUGGAGGAAUACCGAUGGCGAAGGCAGCCUCCUGGGAUAACACUGACGUUCAUGCCCGAAAGCGUGGGUAGCAAACAGGAUUAGAUACCCUGGUAGUCCACGCCCUAAACGAUGUCAAUUAGCUGUUGGGCAGCAUGACUGCUUAGUAGCGAAGCUAACGCGUGAAAUCGACCGCCUGGGGAGUACGGUCGCAAGAUUAAAACUCAAAGGAAUUGACGGGGACCCGCACAAGCGGUGGAUGAUGUGGAUUAAUUCGAUGCAACGCGAAGAACCUUACCUGGUCUUGACAU
This 487-nucleotide ribosomal RNA is filed under the name uncultured bacterium. RNAcentral's name for it is "bacterial SSU rRNA". It matches the Rfam family "Bacterial small subunit ribosomal RNA", at positions 501 to 987 of the family's 1533-position model. The record is from RNAcentral.